This 64-nucleotide transfer RNA is filed under the name Eolachesilla chilensis. Its description in RNAcentral is "tRNA-Trp". Lineage: Eukaryota; Metazoa; Arthropoda; Insecta; Psocodea; Lachesillidae. The record is from RNAcentral.
AAGGCUUUAAGUUAAGUUAAACUAUUAACCUUCAAAGUUAAAAAUAAAUAUUAUUUAAACCUUA